RNAcentral lists this ribosomal RNA (487 nucleotides) under uncultured bacterium. Its description in RNAcentral is "partial 16S ribosomal RNA". It matches the Rfam family "Bacterial small subunit ribosomal RNA", at positions 28 to 507 of the family's 1533-position model. The record is from RNAcentral.
GAUGAACGCUAGCGAUAGGCUUAACACAUGCAAGUCGAGGGGCAGCACAAGGUAGCUUGCUAUCUGGGUGGCGACCGGCGCACGGGUGCGUAACGCGUAUGCAACUUGCCCUAUACAGGAGGAUAACCCGUCGAAAGACGGACUAAUACUGCGUAUGCUCACAACUUGGCAUCAAGUGGUGAGGAAAGAAAUUCGGUAUAGGAUAGGCAUGCGUCCCAUUAGCUUGUUGGUGAGGUAACGGUUCACCAAGGCAACGAUGGGUAGGGGAACUGAGAGGUUUAUCCCCCACACUGGUACUGAGACACGGACCAGACUCCUACGGGAGGCAGCAGUGAGGAAUAUUGGUCAAUGGGCGCGAGCCUGAACCAGCCAAGUCGCGUGAAGGAUGACUGUCUUAUGGAUUGUAAACUUCUUUUAUACGGGAAUAACAAGAGUCACGUGUGACUCCCUGCAUGUACCGUAUGAAUAAGCAUCGGCUAACUCCGUG